AAUCGGCCUACACUGGCACUGGACGUGUCCUUAUGCAGCGAGCCGAGGGGGAUGCGCCACACCAAAAGCGGCAAUGGUGCCGGAAAGGUGAAAAACCACGUAACGCUGGCAGGGCUUGGUAGGGAAACCGAAGAGGCUGGGC
RNAcentral lists this small RNA (142 nucleotides) under bovine gut metagenome. Its description in RNAcentral is "RT-3 RNA". It matches the Rfam family "RT-3 RNA". The record is from RNAcentral.